RNAcentral lists this ribosomal RNA (485 nucleotides) under uncultured bacterium. RNAcentral describes it as "partial 16S ribosomal RNA". It matches the Rfam family "Bacterial small subunit ribosomal RNA", at positions 899 to 1397 of the family's 1533-position model. The record is from RNAcentral.
ACUCAAAUGAAUAGACGGGGACCCGCACAAGCGGUGGAUGAUGUGGUUUAAUUUGACGAUACGCGAAGAACCUUACCCAGGCUUGACAUCCUAGGAACCUUUGAGAAAUCAGAGGGUGCCCUCGGGAGCCUAGUGACAGGUGCUGCAUGGCCGUCGUCAGCUCGUGUCGUGAGAUGUUGGGUUAAGUCCCGCAACGAGCGCAACCCUUGUCGUAUGUUGAAUUUUUCAUGCGAGACUGCCCGGGCCAACCGGGAGGAAGGUGGGGAUGACGUCAGGUCAGCAUGGCCCUUACGCCUGGGGCUACACACGUCAUACAAUGGCCAGUACAACGCGUUGCCAAGUCGCAAGACGGAGCUAAUCGCACCAAAACUGGUCUCAGUUCGGAUUGGAGGCUGCAACUCGCCUCCAUGAAGUCGGAAUCGCUAGUAAACGUGGGUCAGCAUACCACGUUGAAUACGUUCCCGGGUCUUGUACACACCGCCCGU